RNAcentral lists this long non-coding RNA (216 nucleotides) under Gossypium barbadense (sea-island cotton). RNAcentral's name for it is "long non-coding RNA (GBAR_LNC007252)". The record is from RNAcentral. Lineage: Eukaryota; Viridiplantae; Streptophyta; Magnoliopsida; Malvales; Malvaceae.
UUUAUAUGGGUAUUGCUUCGCCAACUAACCAUGUGAGAUGUUGCUUCUACGAAAGGAAAUUUGGACUAUGACUAAGAAAAUUAUGCUUGAUUACUUAAUUUAAUGUAUUCGAUAAGUUUGAGUUUCCUUUAUACAAACUUACUAAGCAUUAGUUGUUUAUACAGUUGUUUUAAUUAUUUUGUAGAUCAUCAAAAAGCUCAAACGGUUGAAAUUAAC